RNAcentral lists this ribosomal RNA (253 nucleotides) under uncultured bacterium. RNAcentral describes it as "partial 16S ribosomal RNA". It matches the Rfam family "Archaeal small subunit ribosomal RNA", at positions 474 to 727 of the family's 1478-position model. The record is from RNAcentral.
UACCAGCACCCCGAGUGGUCGGGACGAUUAUUGGGCCUAAAGCAUCCGUAGCCGGCCUUACAAGUCCCCCGUUAAAUCCAACUGCUUAACAGAUGGGCUGCGGAGGAUACUAUAAGACUAGGAGGCAGGAGAGGCAAGCGGUACUCAGUGGGUAGGGGUAAAAUCCGUUGAUCCAUUGAAGACCACCAGUGGCGAAGGCGAAUCCCUGGAAAAUACCUGACACUGAGGCACGAAAGCUAGGGGAGCAAACAGG